Molecule: long non-coding RNA, 2299 nt
Organism: Anguilla rostrata (American eel)
Lineage: Eukaryota; Metazoa; Chordata; Actinopteri; Anguilliformes; Anguillidae
Exons: 3
Source: RefSeq, a predicted model, not a curated record
GGGACCGUUUAAAAAAUCUGAAAGCGUCUUCAGCUGAUAUAUCCAGUGACUGUUCCUCAUUCAAUAAAAAAAAAAACAUUCAAAAGAAGGAGAGAUGAAAUGAAAUAGAUGCGCUGGCCCCUUUAAUUUCUGCGUGUCCGUCUGCACGGAGAGGGCCCCGCUCGGAGAGGCUUGACGCGCGGUCUGCUUCGCCUUCUGCGGCGUUCUCUUUGAGGCUCCCGUCCCCCAGACGCGCCCGACAGGCUGAACUCGAUGUGGGCUGCUCACCAGACUGCGAAAUUCAUUCAUCUGUGCCUUCAGACGGCCAAAUCUGGAUCUAAUAACGGGACCUGGCUAUUGAUCCAACUCUCUGAGAGGGUGUGAUUGCACGGAGCGGUCACUAGAGGGCUCUAUGCUCUAGGCUAGCGGCUGUUCCUAAGCCUGCACGCUUUGCCAUUCAGUUUAAAAAUAUAAGACCCUGCCCACAGUUUUUCACAAAGCCAGAGGACCUGUCUUUGUAGACCAUAACAAACAAACACUGUUCAAACUUUGUGGUAGCCUGCUGAUCUUGGGGCUCCAGGACUUCCACUUUACAUUGCACUUCACAUGCAUCAACCAGGACUUGAUGAAAUGAAAGGCAGGACGGCCCCGCAGGAGUCGCUAUGGAGACAGGAUCGCUGUCCUGGGGCUGUCACGACGUGGCGCUCAACACGAAACAUCUGGACCCCUUUUCGCGAUGUUCCGAAGCCACAAGGAGCCGAGGAUGUUUGCCUGAUUUAAGAGGCCUGUUUAGAGCUGUUUGGACAACUCGCUGCAUGGAUUAGUGCCUUAAUUAAAGAUAAUAUCAACUCGUAAUAUCUCUCCCACAGAAUUCCCUUUCACACAAUGUAACAGUCUAAGCUCUCUGGGAGGCUGACCCCCGGGUACUUGACCUGAACCAGCCAAUGGGGGGCAAGUUGUCACCAUCACCAACUCUCAAAAUUCCAAAGCUGAGGGCCAAGUUAUAAUGUUCAGAGUGCAUUUUGUGUGAAACCACACAACGUGAAAAUGCAGCCUAAUGUAUGGUCAAAAUGGAGUAAACUACGCCUUAGAUCUAAAUUAUAGAUUGUACACUGACCAGUGCACUGCUUAGUUUGCUUUGCAUGAAUAUCUGGAGAUGUGGUUACAUACAUUACCCUAUGUGGUUUUCCACAUCUAUCUUAGACACCUUCCUCCAUGCCUCUCCUGGCCCACCAGUGGAUCCUAAUACACAGCAUGACAAACACUGACAUUACAAGUGCAGCAACAUUUAUAGGGCACAUUUAGCAGGCUACACUUAAUCACAUUUGGACUCAUGUAAACUAUAAACUUACACUGAAUAUGCUACAAUAGACCGGCUGAGUUGUUGGAACACUCUGAAGCCAGUUUCAGUUUAGAUAAGGCAGUUAUUCAUAUUAGUUCAAAGUUUCUGGCAGGGUAGUAGACCUGCAAUGGACAAAUCCGUUGAGAAAAAUAUAAAGGAGAUUCUACUUCCAUGACAUAGCUUACUUUUACCAACGUGAAGUUCCAACAAAAAUAUUUACACUAAGGCUCUCAAUUACUGAUGGAUAGAGGAGAGCAGGGAAAAAACUCUUCCUUUUUUGAGGUCUAUAUCUAGCCUGGUGAUCAGAAGUUGAUAGUGUCAUAAAGUAUUAUAUCCUCACUUUAUUCACGGCAACACAGCUUUAAUCUAAAAAUACCCCAGCAAGAAAGAGAGGUCUCAGCACAAAGAUUAGGCUUCUACCUCUCAAAGCGAACAGCCAGGAUACUCAGGUCCCAAAAUAAACCGACUCCUCAUAAAGGGCUCCUUCUUUGUAGUCUGUGUAGAAACAUCUGUGGGGCAGUCUCUUAUGGGGAAAGAUUCAGGCAACGUAUCAAAGCGAAACCCCGACGAUUCUCCUGAAAGAGCAGAGUGGGAGGAGAACUCUUUCUUCCUCAGAACGCAGAAAAGAAAACCUACAGCAAACAGAGCCGGUGCUAAUAAAAAUCUAUUAAUAUGAGCUGUCGGACAUAUAUCUUCAAAUAUAACCCAAAAAAGAGUGGUGCUCAGAUAAGGCUUCAAGGUUCGUCCUCACUUGCAAAGCGAAGAGUCUUGGGCCAAGGUCACUUAAUUACACUAAAAUACUUGAACAUAGUGACAUUUAAAAGCAUGAAAUUACUAUUUAGAUGACAACAGUAUUCCCACAUUGAUGUGAAGAGUAUUCCCACACUGAUGUCUUGUAAAGAGGUGAGAUCUCGAUGGUCAGAGAUCAGACUGCAUGGUUGUUCUUAAAAGUAUUUAUUUAUUUAUUUAUUUAUUUAU